Molecule: long non-coding RNA, 824 nt
Filed under: Sus scrofa (pig)
Lineage: Eukaryota; Metazoa; Chordata; Mammalia; Artiodactyla; Suidae
Description: lncRNA (ENSSSCG00035052728.1)
Source: RNAcentral
GAGUGAGCAGGGGACCAAAAUCAGGGGCGGGGCAAGGCAGAGCUAGGACAGGCAUGGGGCAGGACCAAAUGGAAGAGAAAGAGGUUCCUGAAGGUGAAGGAGCCCAAAAGUGAGGUGAGACCAAAGUGAUGGGUGUGGCCUGAAGGGGAGGAGCCCAUAGUGGGUGGAGCCAGACUGAGUGGAGGCAGGGCUUGGACAGAGAGAGGGAGCUGGUCAUAGAAUGUAGGUGAGGUUGAGGGUUUCUGGGGUCUUUCAGAAACGCAAUGCCACGAGCCAGUCCACCUAAGGUCUAACCAUCGUCUGCAGCCUCUGGCUCCAAACCUUUUGAGGAAAGGAAGGGAUGGGUCCCUGAGAGACCUAGGCCUAUGAUUUCUCCUGUUCCAAUUUGUCCUGCCGGGACUUCCCACUGUGAAGGCAGAGAGCCUCCCCCCUCCGCGGGGAUGCGAGUUGCUUCCUUCUCCUUCCAAAGAUCCAUGAUUGGACCCUCAGCCCCUCACUGCACACACAAGCGGCCCCAGAGUCCGCCCACUGGCCAAGCUCAUUCAUUCAGCAAGCAUUUUCUAGGAGCACAGGGGUUAUGUCAGUGCCUUUCUAUAGGCACCAAGGCUCAUUCACCACGGUUUCCUCAGGGGCUCCGCCAAAUGCCUGGUACAGAGGAGUACUCAGCCCAGUGCCAGAAACUGCAGCUGGAGCCACUGACCUCGGAUGACUCUGACAACUACAAGUGCAUCGCAAGCAAUGACCAUGCAGACACCAUCUAUACUGUGUCCUUGCCGGUGACCGAAGGGGACCCCCUGCUCCCAAGAAGAAGCAGAAGAAGGUGA